This 253-nucleotide ribosomal RNA is filed under the name uncultured bacterium. Its description in RNAcentral is "partial 16S ribosomal RNA". It matches the Rfam family "Bacterial small subunit ribosomal RNA", at positions 524 to 776 of the family's 1533-position model. The record is from RNAcentral.
UACAGAGACUGCGAGCGUUAUUCGGAUUCACUGGGCGUAAAGGGUGCGCAGGCGGCCAAGUGUGUGAGGCGUGAAAGCCCGGGGCUUAACCCCGGAAUUGCACCUCAAACUACAUGGCUAGAGCAUUGGAGAGGGAAGCGGAAUUCACGGUGUAGCAGUGAAAUGCGUAGAUAUCUGGAGGAACACCGGUGGCGAAGGCGGCAUCCUGGACCGACACUGACGCUGAGGAGCGAAAGCCAGGGGAGCAAACGGG